Molecule: long non-coding RNA, 612 nt
Organism: Eriocheir sinensis (Chinese mitten crab)
Lineage: Eukaryota; Metazoa; Arthropoda; Malacostraca; Decapoda; Varunidae
Exons: 3
Source: RefSeq, a predicted model, not a curated record
GUUAGGUUAGGUUAGGAUAGGUUAGGUUAGGUUAGGUUAGGUUAGGUUAGGAUAGGUUAGGUUAGGUUAGGUUAGGUUAGGUUAGGUUAGGAUAGGUUAGGUUAGGUUAGGUUAGGUUAGGAUAGGUUAGGUUAGGUUAGGUUAGGUUAGGUUAGGUUAGGAUAGGUUAGGUUAGGAUAGGUUAGGUUAGGUUAGGUUAGGAUAGGUUAGGUUAGGAUAGGUUAGGUUAGGUUAGGAUAGGUUAGGUUAGGUUAGGUUAGGUUAGGUUAGGAUAGGUUAGGUUAGGUUAGGUUAGGUUAGGUUAGGUUAGGUUAGGUUAGGUUAGGAUAGGUUAGGUUAGGUUAGGUUAGGAUAGGUUAGGUUAGGAUAGGUUAGGUUAGGUUAGGUUAGGCACAAACUAUUUUUUUCUGGGUAAUUUGUGGUGUUUUUUUCAUGUGGAGAUGGUUUUUUUCCGGAAAUAUUAGGAUUGUGACUUGAUGAAGAAAAUUGAAAUAGCCCCUUUCCUAAUAGUUUCCGGAAAAAAAGACUAUCUCCACUUGAAAAAGCACCACAUUUUACCUAGAAAAAAAUAGUUUGUGCCUGGAAAUUCGAGAGCCCACAUCUCCUGAAUUA